UUAAAUUGAAGAGUUUGAUCAUGGCUCAGAUUGAACGCUGGCGGCAGGCCUAACACAUGCAAGUCGAACGGUAACAGGAAGCAGCUUGCUGCUUCGCUGACGAGUGGCGGACGGGUGAGUAAUGUCUGGGAAACUGCCUGAUGGAGGGGGGUAACUACUGGAAACGGUAGCU
This 172-nucleotide ribosomal RNA is filed under the name Enterobacter asburiae. RNAcentral's name for it is "partial 16S ribosomal RNA". It matches the Rfam family "Bacterial small subunit ribosomal RNA", at positions 1 to 164 of the family's 1533-position model. Lineage: Bacteria; Pseudomonadati; Pseudomonadota; Gammaproteobacteria; Enterobacterales; Enterobacteriaceae. RNAcentral also lists the same sequence under 1 other name. The record is from RNAcentral.